Molecule: ribosomal RNA, 76 nt
Filed under: Thermococcus sp. Ax00-17
Lineage: Archaea; Methanobacteriati; Methanobacteriota; Thermococci; Thermococcales; Thermococcaceae
Also listed under: 4 other names
Description: partial 23S ribosomal RNA
Source: RNAcentral
CAGGAAACGCCCCGCCCGGUGGCAACUAAGCCGCCUGGUGGAUGGCUCGGCUCGGGGCGCCGACGAAGGGCGUGGC